RNAcentral lists this ribosomal RNA (469 nucleotides) under uncultured bacterium. Its description in RNAcentral is "partial 16S ribosomal RNA". It matches the Rfam family "Bacterial small subunit ribosomal RNA", at positions 28 to 507 of the family's 1533-position model. The record is from RNAcentral.
GACGAACGCUGGCGGCGUGCUUAACACAUGCAAGUCGAACGGAAAGGCACUAGUUUGGUGGUGUGGACGAGUGGCGAACGGGUGAGUAACACGUGAGUAACCUGCCCUUCACUUUGGGAUAAGCUCGGGAAACUGGGGCUAAUACCGGAUACGACCGAUCGCCGCAUGGAGGGGUGGGGAAAGUUUUUGGUGGUGGGGGAUGGACCCGCGGCCUAUAAGCUUGUUGGUGGGGUGUUGGCCUACCAAGGCGUCGACGGGUAGCCGGCCUGAGAGGGUGACCGGCCACACUGGGACUGAGAUACGGCCCAGACUCCUACGGGAGGCAGCAGUGGGGAAUAUUGCACAAUGGGCGGAAGCCUGAUGCAGCGACGCCGCGUGCGGGAUGACGGCCUUCGGGUUGUAAACCGCUUUCGCCUGUGACGAAGCGUGCGUGACGGUACCGGGAGAAGAAGCACCGGCUAACUACGUG